AUUGAACGCUGGCGGCAGGCCUAACACAUGCCAGUCGAACGGUAACAGGAAGAAGCUUGCUUCUUUGCUGACGAGUGGCGGACGGGUGAGUAAUGUCUGGGAAACUGCCUGAUGGAGGGGGAUAACUACUGGAAACGGUAGCUAAUACCGCAUAACGUCGCAAGACCAAAGAGGGGGACCUUCGGGCCUCUUGCCAUCGGAUGUGCCCAGAUGGGAUUAGCUAGUAGGUGGGGUAACGGCUCACCUAGGCGACGAUCCCUAGCUGGUCUGAGAGGAUGACCAGCCACACUGGAACUGAGACACGGUCUAGACUCCUACGGGAGGCAGCAGUGGGGAAUAUUGCACAAUGGGCGCAAGCCUGAUGCAGCCAUGCCGCGUGUAUGAAGAAGGCCUUCGGGUUGUAAAGUACUUUCAGCGGGGAGGAAGGGAGUAAAGUUAAUACCUUUACUCAUUGACGUUACCCGCAGAAGAAGCACCGGCUAACUCCGUG
This 490-nucleotide ribosomal RNA is filed under the name uncultured bacterium. RNAcentral describes it as "partial 16S ribosomal RNA". It matches the Rfam family "Bacterial small subunit ribosomal RNA", at positions 30 to 507 of the family's 1533-position model. The record is from RNAcentral.